This 492-nucleotide ribosomal RNA is filed under the name uncultured bacterium. RNAcentral's name for it is "partial 16S ribosomal RNA". It matches the Rfam family "Bacterial small subunit ribosomal RNA", at positions 29 to 507 of the family's 1533-position model. The record is from RNAcentral.
AGUGAACGCUGGCGGUAGGCCUAACACAUGCGAGUCGAACGGCAGCACAGUAAGAGCUUGCUCUUACGGGUGGCGAGUGGCGGACGGGUGAGGAAUACAUCGGAAUCUACUUUUUCGUGGGGGAUAACGUAGGGAAACUUACGCUAAUACCGCAUACGACCUACGGGUGAAAGCAGGGGAUCUUCGGACCUUGCGCGAUUGAAUGAGCCGAUGUCGGAUUAGCUAGUUGGCGGGGUAAAGGCCCACCAAGGCGACGAUCCGUAGCUGGUCUGAGAGGAUGAUCAGCCACACUGGAACUGAGACACGGUCCAGACUCCUACGGGAGGCAGCAGUGGGGAAUAUUGGACAAUGGGCGCAAGCCUGAUCCAGCCAUACCGCGUGGGUGAAGAAGGCCUUCGGGUUGUAAAGCCCUUUUGUUGGGAAAGAAAAGCAGCAGGUUAAUACCCCGCUGUUCUGACGGUACCCAAACAAUAAGCACCGGCUAACUUCGUG